Molecule: ribosomal RNA, 468 nt
Filed under: uncultured bacterium
Lineage: Bacteria
Description: partial 16S ribosomal RNA
Rfam family: Bacterial small subunit ribosomal RNA
Source: RNAcentral
GACGAACGCUGGCGGCGUGCUUAACACAUGCAAGUCGAACGGAAAGGCCCUGCUUUUGUGGGGUGCUCGAGUGGCGAACGGGUGAGUAACACGUGAGUAACCUGCCCUUGACUUUGGGAUAACUUCAGGAAACUGGGGCUAAUACCGGAUAGGAGCUCCUGCUGCAUGGUGGGGGUUGGAAAGUUUCGGCGGUUGGGGAUGGACUCGCGGAUUAUCAGCUUGUUGGUGGGGUAGUGGCUUACCAAGGCUUUGACGGGUAGCCGGCCUGAGAGGGUGUCCGGCCACAUUGGGACUGAGAUACGGCCCAGACUCCUACGGGAGGCAGCAGUGGGGAAUAUUGCACAAUGGGCGGAAGCCUGAUGCAGCAACGCCGCGUGCGGGAUGACGGCCUUCGGGUUGUAAACCGCUUUCGCCUGUGACGAAGCGUGAGUGACGGUAAUGGGUAAAGAAGCACCGGCUAACUACGUG